GCCGGAGUGGCGGAAUUGGUAGACGCGCUGGAUUCAAAAUCCAGUUUGGGCAACCAAGUGCCGGUUCGAGCCCGGCCUUCGGUA
RNAcentral lists this transfer RNA (84 nucleotides) under Bacteroidota bacterium. RNAcentral's name for it is "Bacteroidetes bacterium (groundwater metagenome) tRNA-Leu". It matches the Rfam family "tRNA". From Rfam's summary of the family: Transfer RNA (tRNA) molecules are approximately 80 nucleotides in length. Their secondary structure includes four short double-helical elements and three loops (D, anti-codon, and T loops). The record is from RNAcentral. Lineage: Bacteria; Pseudomonadati; Bacteroidota.